AGGUGCUGCAUGGCUGUCGUCAGCUCGUGUUGUGAAAUGUUGGGUUAAGUCCCGCAACGAGCGCAACCCUUAUCCUUUGUUGCCAGCGAUUCGGUCGGGAACUCAAAGGAGACUGCCGGUGAUAAACCGGAGGAAGGUGGGGAUGACGUCAAGUCAUCAUGGCCCUUACGAGUAGGGCUACACACGUGCUACAAUGGCGCAUACAAAGAGAAGCGACCUCGCGAGAGCAAGCGGACCUCACAAAGUGCGUCGUAGUCCGGAUCGGAGUCUGCAACUCGACUCCGUGAAGUCGGAAUCGCUAGUAAUCGUGGAUCAGAAUGCCACGGUGAAUACGUUCCCGGGCCUUGUACACACCGCCCGUCACA
This 365-nucleotide ribosomal RNA is filed under the name Pantoea sp. RNAcentral's name for it is "bacterial SSU rRNA". It matches the Rfam family "Bacterial small subunit ribosomal RNA", at positions 1036 to 1401 of the family's 1533-position model. The record is from RNAcentral. Lineage: Bacteria; Pseudomonadati; Pseudomonadota; Gammaproteobacteria; Enterobacterales; Erwiniaceae.